RNAcentral lists this ribosomal RNA (253 nucleotides) under uncultured prokaryote. Its description in RNAcentral is "partial 16S ribosomal RNA". It matches the Rfam family "Bacterial small subunit ribosomal RNA", at positions 525 to 777 of the family's 1533-position model. The record is from RNAcentral.
ACAGAGGUGGCAAGCGUUGUUCGGAAUUACUGGGCGUAAAGGGCGCGUAGGCGGCCAUCUAAGUCAGACGUGAAAUCCCCAGGCUCAACCUGGGAACUGCAUCCGAUACUGGAUGGCUUGAAUUCGGGAGAGGGAUGCAGAAUUCCAGGUGUAGCGGUGAAAUGCGUAGAUAUCUGGAGGAAUACCGGUGGCGAAGGCGGCAUCCUGGACCGACAUUGACGCUGAGGAGCGAAAGCUAGGGGAGCAAACGGGA